This 23-nucleotide small nuclear RNA is filed under the name Arabidopsis thaliana (thale cress). RNAcentral's name for it is "snRNA_03238". Lineage: Eukaryota; Viridiplantae; Streptophyta; Magnoliopsida; Brassicales; Brassicaceae. The record is from RNAcentral.
UUAUAUUACUUAUGUGGUUUAAA